GUAAUAUUCACACGCUCUCUCUCCUCUGCGCCCUUGUUUUUGUUUUCCUGCCGCUCAGCUGCCCUAUGCUACGUUGCGAAAGGGCGUGUUGUCAAGCAGCUGUGCAGAGAGGACAAAAACGUCGUUGGGCGUUAUGGAGAGUGCCACAGCACAAAGCGGAAAAGUCGGCGCUCUCCCGAUGGCACCGAGGACAGGGGUGAUUUCAUCAUUUUGACGCCAUUAGCACGCAGAUGCGCAGCGGAGGCAAACCCCUCUUGCGCUGGUAUACUUGCUGAGAGCAAACAACGGCAGCCUGCUCUCACUAGUCCCACCGCAUAACUCCUCUUUGGUGCUGAUUCCCUCUUUUGUUUUGUCGUCAUACGCCAUGCGUGUAUUCGUGAUGAUGCCCCCUCAUCAUAUUUAUCGUCCUCUCCCUCCUCUAUUUUUUUCUCCUCUCCCUUCUUCUGUGCGUCUUACCGUUUCGUCUCUCCUGUUCUCACGCUGCACCUGAUACUUUCCUUCUGGUGGUGGUGGGGUGAUGCCACCUACAUAACCACCAACGCGGCUUUUUUCUUUACAUAUCUGCCAUGUUCCCUGCUCACACACACACGCACCAACCUACGCUUAAUCAAAACGAGUUUCUCCCCUUCAG
Molecule: unclassified non-coding RNA, 631 nt
Filed under: Leishmania donovani
Lineage: Eukaryota; Euglenozoa; Kinetoplastea; Trypanosomatida; Trypanosomatidae
Description: gene:unknown
Source: RNAcentral